CUUGGUCAUUUAGAGGAAGUAAAAGUCGUAACAAGGUUUCCGUAGGUGAACCUGCGGAAGGAUCAUUACAGAAAGUAAACGCGGAUCGAACCGCGAACUUCUAAACCUUUGACGAUUGACUCAUGUUGCCUCGGCGGGUUCUCCCGCCAGAGGAUACAUCAAAACUCCUGUUUUAACGGUGUUGUCUGAGCUACAAGCAACGAAUCAAAACUUUCAACAACGGAUCUCUUGGUUCUGGCAUCGAUGAAGAACGCAGCGAAAUGCGAUAAGUAGUGUGAAUUGCAGAAUUCAGUGAAUCAUCGAAUCUUUGAACGCACAUUGCGCCCCUUGGUAUCCCGAGGGGCAUGCCUGUUCGAGCGUCAUUUCACCACUCAAGCCUGGCUUGGUGUUGGGCGACGUCCCCUUUGGGGACGCGCCUCGAAACGCUCGGCGGCGUGGCACCGGCUUUAAGCGUAGCAGAAUCUUUCGCUUUAAAAGUCGGGGCCCCGUCUGCCGGAAGACCUACUCGCAAGGUUGACCUCGGAUCAGGCAGGGAUACCCGCUGAACUUAAGCAUAUCAAUAAGCGGAGGAAAAGAAACCAACCAAUC
RNAcentral lists this ribosomal RNA (588 nucleotides) under uncultured Cenococcum. Its description in RNAcentral is "eukaryotic LSU rRNA". The stretch from base 209 to 362 matches the Rfam family "5.8S ribosomal RNA". Lineage: Eukaryota; Fungi; Ascomycota; Dothideomycetes; Gloniales; Gloniaceae. The record is from RNAcentral.